GACGAACGCUGGCGGCGUGCUUAACACAUGCAAGUCGAACGGUGAAGGGACCGGUUUUUGCUGGUUCUGGAUGAGUGGCGAACGGGUGAGUAACACGUGAGUAACCUGCCCCCUUCUUCUGGAUAACCGCAUGAAAGUGUGGCUAAUACGGGAUAUUCUGCGCCUGCUGCAUGGUGGGUGUGGGAAAGAUAUUGUUUCGGUGGGGGAUGGGCUCGCGGCCUAUCAGCUUGUUGGUGGGGUGAGGGCCUACCAAGGCGGUGACGGGUAGCCGGCCUGAGAGGGUGGACGGUCACACUGGGACUGAGACACGGCCCAGACUCCUACGGGAGGCAGCAGUGGGGAAUAUUGCACAAUGGGCGCAAGCCUGAUGCAGCGACGCCGCGUGAGGGAUGGAGGCCUUCGGGUUGUAAACCUCUUUCACCAGUGAAGCAGGCCUGUCCCUUUUGUGGGUGGGUUGACGGUAGCUGGAUAAGAAGCGCCGGCUAACUACGUG
RNAcentral lists this ribosomal RNA (493 nucleotides) under uncultured bacterium. RNAcentral's name for it is "partial 16S ribosomal RNA". It matches the Rfam family "Bacterial small subunit ribosomal RNA", at positions 28 to 507 of the family's 1533-position model. The record is from RNAcentral.